GAACGGUAACAGGGAAAAGCUUGCUUUUCCGCUGACGAGUGGCGCACGGGUGCGUAACGCGUAUACAAUCUGCCUCUUACUGGGGGAUAGCCUUUGGAAACGAAGAAUAAUACCCCAUGGUAUCCAGGUUUCGCAUGGAAUCUGGAUUAAAGUUUCGGCGGUAAGAGAUGAGUAUGCGUUCUAUUAGCUAGAUGGUGUGGUAACGGCACACCAUGGCAACGAUAGAUAGGGGCCCUGAGAGGGGGAUCCCCCACACUGGUACUGAGACACGGACCAGACUCCUACGGGAGGCAGCAGUGAGGAAUAUUGGACAAUGGGCGGAAGCCUGAUCCAGCCAUGCCGCGUGCAGGAAGACUGCCCUAUGGGUUGUAAACUGCUUUUGUACGGGAAGAAACCCACCUACGUGUAGGUGGCUGACGGUACCGUAAGAAUAAGCAUCGGCUAACUCCGUGCCAGCAGCCGCGGUAAUACGGAGGAUGCAAGCGUUAUCCGGAAUCAUUGGGUUUAAAGGGUCCGUAGGUGGAUUGGUCAGUCAGAGGUGAAAUCCUGCAGCUCAACUGUAGAACUGCCUUUGAUACUGCCGGUCUUGAAUUAUCGUGAAGUGGUUAGAAUAUGUAGUGUAGCGGUGAAAUGCAUAGAUAUUACAUAGAAUACCGAUUGCGAAGGCAGAUCACUAACGAUACAUUGACACUGAUGGACGAAAGCGUGGGGAGCGAACGGGAUUAGAUACCCCGGUAGUCCACGCCGUAAACGAUGGUCACUAGCUGUUCGGACUUCGGUCUGAGUGGCUAAGCGAAAGUGAUAAGUGACCCACCUGGGGAGUACGUUCGCAAGAAUGAAACUCAAAGGAAUUGACGGGGGCCCGCACAAGCGGUGGAGCAUGUGGUUUAAUUCGAUGAUACGCGAGGAGCCUUACCAGGGCUUAAUGUAGAUGCAUAGCUGGAGACAGCUACUUCUUCGGACAUCUACAGGUGCUGCAUGGU
This 983-nucleotide ribosomal RNA is filed under the name uncultured bacterium. RNAcentral describes it as "bacterial SSU rRNA". It matches the Rfam family "Bacterial small subunit ribosomal RNA", at positions 64 to 1049 of the family's 1533-position model. The record is from RNAcentral.